This 157-nucleotide ribosomal RNA is filed under the name Canis lupus (wolf). RNAcentral describes it as "partial small subunit ribosomal RNA". Lineage: Eukaryota; Metazoa; Chordata; Mammalia; Carnivora; Canidae. The record is from RNAcentral.
UCCCAAACUGGGAUUAGAUACCCCACUAUGCUUAGCCCUAAACAUAGAUAAUUUUACAACAAAAUAAUUCGCCAGAGGACUACUAGCAAUAGCUUAAAACUCAAAGGAGGGGCGGUGCUUUAUAUCCCUCUAGAGGAGCCUGCUCGAUAAUCGAUAA